Molecule: non-coding RNA, 108 nt
Organism: Glossina palpalis gambiensis
Lineage: Eukaryota; Metazoa; Arthropoda; Insecta; Diptera; Glossinidae
Source: Rfam
AUACUGUACUGUAGACCUGUCGGAUUCUGGGGUAAAAUAGUCGGAUCCCUUUGUGUAAUCGCUGGCGUGCUGACAAUCGCUUUGCCCGUACCGGUUAUUGUUAGCAAU